AUUGAAGAUGGGAAGCAGCCCCUCCAAUUCGAGUGGGAUAAACAGAGCGAAAGGUUAUGAAUGGAGUGGAAAGAUAAAGUUUAUAUGUUACCUUGACUUAGAUGACGAAGACCAAGUACAUAUUGCGUUGAAACACAUAAACAACGAUGAUAUAAGCAGUGUGUCUAUUUACACCACACCUCUGAGCGAACAUCAAUGGUCACACUUGACAUUUUACCAUGCCUAUGUAGUAUUGAGCACGCGGACAGAUACAGAAACAUACUGGUGGUCUCUCGAGAAGAAUGGAGAGGCAUUGAUUGUUCAGAUGAGCAGAAAUAUUGAAGAUGUGAGAGAUAAAAUUGAGGGAAAAAGGCGCAUUGAGAAGUACCCUAACUACUGGAAACCCUUACUUAACACUAGCGACUCCAGCUGUAUUAGCUUCAGGGCAUUGUACGAGUAUAUAAUAGUGGACACAGACCAAUUGAAUUUGAAAUAUAAUUACUCAGAUGGGAAUUGUAAGAAAUUUGCAAAGACUGUUUUUGACAAGAUCGCCCGAAACAAAACCUGGUACUAUUUUAUUUGACUGAUUCAACAUCAUAAUCUAGCUUUUGUUUAAAAACACCCAUCGAUUUCACUAACAUAUUAUGAAUGUUACAGAUGAACGAUUUUAUACCAUGAAUAUUGUACAACAUAUUUUCUUAAAGAGUUGGUACGACAAUUCCCCGUUUAAUUUUUUAAUUCAAAACCAUUAUAUAUUGACAGUAACACAAUAUUUACAGUGACACAAUCUUUUGUAAUAUUACGAACAUUAUUUUUAUUCGUUAA
This is a long non-coding RNA of Bolinopsis microptera, 804 nucleotides long. RefSeq lists it as uncharacterized. NCBI's taxonomy places the organism in Eukaryota, Metazoa, Ctenophora, Tentaculata, Lobata, Bolinopsidae. The record is from RefSeq and is a predicted model, not a curated record. The transcript is spliced from 2 exons.